This 227-nucleotide unclassified non-coding RNA is filed under the name Mycobacterium europaeum. RNAcentral describes it as "partial contains 16S ribosomal RNA and 16S-23S ribosomal RNA intergenic spacer". Lineage: Bacteria; Bacillati; Actinomycetota; Actinomycetes; Mycobacteriales; Mycobacteriaceae. The record is from RNAcentral.
GCUGGAUCACCUCCUUUCUAAGGAGCACCACGAAAAACACCCCAACUGGUGGGGUGUCAGCCGUGAGGGGUUCCCGCCUGUAGUGGGCGGGGGCCGGGUGCACAACAGCAAAUGAUUGCCAGACACACUAUUGGGCCCUGAGACAACACUCGGCCAGUCCGUGUGGUGUCCCUCCAUCUUGGUGGUGGGGUGUGGUGUUUGAGUAUUGGAUAGUGGUUGCGAGCAUA